This is a small nuclear RNA of Colobus angolensis palliatus, 104 nucleotides long. The record is from Ensembl. Lineage: Eukaryota; Metazoa; Chordata; Mammalia; Primates; Cercopithecidae.
AUGCUUGCUUCAGCAACAUAUAUACUAAAAUUGGAAUAAUAUGGAGAUUAGCAUGGCCCCUGUGCAAGGAUGACAUGCAAAUUCAUGAAGUGUUCCAUAUUUUU